UCAUUGACCACUAUUAUCGGAUACGCCGAAAAAAGUAGUAUAGAUACCAUAUUUUGAUGAUUGUGAUUGAAGGGUCAAUCAAUUGAUCUCCCUACCGAGGAAGACCAUCGUGGAGUCAUGGGGUUCCCCUUUCCCUCACCACGCUCUCUCCUCCUCUUCAUCCCUCGCUCUACACUAGCGCCGCCAUUGUCUCUCCAUUCCCUGUCGCUUCUCCCUUUCUGCAAGGGAGCAUCCAUCUCUUCUUAACCAUCCAGCACCCCGGCGGCUAUGUCCGCUGCGGCGGCAGCGACUACUACGGGCAUGCCAGUGCGUGGAGAUCCCCGUCAACUUCAAUUUCGUAUGUGAGAUCCACGAUCCAUAGUCUAAUCAGAUAGGAUUUGGGAUGGGGUUUUCUUUGGCUCCUCCGGAUUGCUGUGAUUUUGCAGGGUGUAGUCACAUCAGGGUUCGGGUGCCUGAUGCUGGCAUGCUGCGUGGAGAAGAAGGGUCUGGUGUUCGCCGCCGCCUUCAGCCCUCUAUCACAGAUAUUCGCAGCUCUACCUGAAUCGCAUCCGGGAUUCAGCGCUUGUGAUCAUGUGCUCUACCUUGUAUUCCUCCGGAUUACCGGUGUGCAUGUGUGCAGUAGUCGCUUCCUGUUUCUUGCCCAGUAUGGUAUUCCUGCUGCUGUCUUAUAUUCCGUGGCCUUCUAAAUGUUUGGCGUAAUACUUAAACCACAUUUACUCCUCUUCCUGGUCAUGUAUGUAUUAUGUGUUGUGGGUCAAUAUAAUUUACUUGCUCCCGACCUGCCAGCAAACAAUUUGCUUUCAGUGUAUUGCAAUGCUCUUGCACUUUAAUCUCCAUGUUGCAUAUAUUGCAAUGAUCUUUAUCUGAAUGUACUUCUCUUCAAACACAAUUUGUUCGCAACUUGACCUUCCAAAAAUUAGACAAGAGUUGUAGAUACUUAAUGGGAAGGGUAUUUGAUCUUGAUUUUAGUGAUAGCUGUAUACAUUCUUAUUGUUUUCACCUCAGAAUGUAGCGCCACAAGCAGUCGGGCCAACAGCUACGGCUGUGGGUGCUAGGAGCGAAGGCCGUGUUUAGUGUGUUUAUGGGCUAUUAUCAGACUCGAGUAGCAACAGAUCCACAAUAAAAGAAGAUAAUGUAAGUUAUUCAGUUGCUCAUUGUUCUGUCCGCAACAUUAACUAAAAUUCAUACUUCCGCAACUUAGGUAACUUAAUUUCCUUAAAUUAUUGUAUUUUAUGGUGCUUCUCAUUUCUGAAAGUUGUUUCUUUAUUCAAGUUUACUCAUAAUUAUGUGAAUUUAAGUAUUAGAGAUCCAGCAGCAAUGGUGUUUGCAUGUGGGAUCCUAGAAGAGUGGCCUAUUACAAUGGCCUGUUAGAAGAUACAUAGAGAUAAAAGGGCACAGAUGCCAAAGAAAUGCUGCAAGACAAGGAUGCGCUGGUGGAGAUGCCUCGUCGGUGUCUCCACCCCACUGUCGAGUUCCCGGUGGAGAUGUCUCAUUGUUGCACCAGUGCUUCAUGCCCAUCACUCCAUCAGGGAGUACUCCAACAUCGAGUGGACCUUCGACUUGCAACACCGGAAGGUGGAGAAUGCCAGCCGUCGGCAGAGGGAGCAGAAGGCAAGGGAGCGGAAGGAUCUGGCGGCAGCCCUAAUGCAAAGGGCUGCCUCCAUCGAGAGGAUGGUGGAGACCCUGCCCCAGUAUGCCCCCACCGCGUCGGGGAGCCAAGGUAGCGUCUCGUCACCGUGGCCGUCAAGCUCAUCGCCAGCACCCAGGCUGGUGCUCCAAGAAAGCCUUCUACGCCGGUGGGUGAUCUCGCCCUUUGAUUUCCGCGGCUAUGUAUUGACGGCCGACAUGCGCCAUUUUUUGAUUCGCUACACAUUGAUUCGCGGCGACUUGCGAUGAUGUGAUUGUUGAGACUAUUCGAUCGAUUUGUAGGCGCCAUAACUAUGUGAUCUGUGAUCUAUUUAAAUUUA
Lolium perenne is the source of this 1967-nucleotide long non-coding RNA. RefSeq lists it as uncharacterized. The record is from RefSeq and is a predicted model, not a curated record. Lineage: Eukaryota; Viridiplantae; Streptophyta; Magnoliopsida; Poales; Poaceae.